UCUUCUGGCACACAGGCAUACAUGCAGAUAGAGUACUCAAAUAUACAAAAAGGGAAAAGAAAUGAAAGGCCUUUGAAAUGUAGACAUGCUUUCAAUUUUAAAGGCUGUUUUCACAUCUCUUAAGAACUAGGGGUUCCAUGAGAACAUAUCCUCACCCUGAGUUCUUACCACCAAUUGAAAACGCUGGCCUGUGCAUAUGAAGAUUGUAUUGCUAGUAAUCAAAUGAUCAUUUGUAGAGUUUAGUAUAAUUAUCAUUUGUUUUCCAGGGAUGAAUUUGGAGUCUGUUUUGUGCUCCUGCCUCAAGAAGAAGGAUUGCCUGGAUUUAGAGGAGUGAAGAGUGCUGGAGAGGGCCCAAAGGGACAAACAAUCCCUAUGUGAGAUUCAAGGACUGCCAGCAGCCUAUACAGCUACAUUACAUCUCAGCAGAACUUCUCUUCAAGUCCUCGCUACUCUGAACAAAAAGCUUACAGGCCACAUGGAGAAAAAAAGAUCUCCCCCCAGAAUUGUGGGCUUGUUGCUUUGCAGUGCUGGCGACCUAUUCCCUUUGACGAUCCCUAGGUGGAGAUGGGGCAUGAGGAUCCUCCAGGGGAAUAGCUCACCACCACUGGGCAACAGGCCUAGCCCAGAUUUCAGUGAGACGCUUUCCUGA
Molecule: long non-coding RNA, 649 nt
Filed under: Mus spicilegus (steppe mouse)
Lineage: Eukaryota; Metazoa; Chordata; Mammalia; Rodentia; Muridae
Description: lncRNA (ENSMSIG00000006325.1)
Rfam family: X-chromosome inactivation gene exon 4 (bases 495-620)
Source: RNAcentral